GUACUGUUCCCUUCUUCCCUUCUCCACGCUCAUCACAGAAAAUUUCUUUCUACGAUCCUAUCUCCUCAAAUGCCCACAAAAUAUGCCACCCUCGUCUAGGCCCCGUUGUUGCCGGGUAGCCGUGAUCGGCGCAGGUGCCGCCGGUCUAGUGGCUGCCCGUGAGCUUCGCAGAGAGGGCCUCCAAGUGGUACUGUUCGAGAAAGAUGACCAAAUCGGUGGUACCUGGGUGUACAAUUCCCAUGUCGAACCUGACCUUCUCGGGCUCGACCCCUCCCGACCCAUCGUUCACUCCAGCCUCUACGAGUCCCUCCGAACCAACCUGCCCAGAGAGUCCAUGGGUUUUAUGGACUUCCCGUUUGUGGCCCAAGAAGAGGGUGAAACGAGAGACCCGAGAAGGUUUCCGGGUCACAGAGAAGUGUUGCUCUAUUUGCAAGACUUUGCAAGGAAGUUUAGGAUUGAAGAGCUGAUUAGGUUUCACCGUGAGGUGGUUAGCGUGGAGCUGAUUGAUGAUCGGAAAUGGAAAGUGAAGUCACACAAGAAGAGAAUUGAGAGUGAUGGCGAUAAUUAUGGGAAUGAUUGUUUUCUAGAUGAGGUUUUUGAUGCUGUGGUUGUUUGCAGUGGACAUCAUACAGAACCUCGUAUAGCUGAAAUUCCAGGCGUCGAUUUGUGGCCUGGAAAGCAAAUACACAGCCACAACUAUCGUACUCCAGAGCCUUUCAGGGAUCAGAUGAUAAUUAUAAUAGGCCAUUCCUGGAGUUCUGCUGAUAUAUCCGCUGAGAUAGCUGCAGUUGCCAAAGAGGUCCACAUUGCAUCUAGAUCAGUUCCAGAUGGUACAUAUGAAAAACAACGCGGAUAUGAUAAUAUGUGGCUUCAUUCAAUGAUAGAAAGUUCCCAUGAAGAUGGUACUGUGGUUUUCAGAGAUGGUAGUGCUAUUGUUGCAGACGUUAUUCUGCAUUGCACCGGGUACAAGUAUCACUUCCCCUUCCUCAAAACCCAUGGCAUUGUGACUGUUAAUGACAAUCAUGUGGGGCCACUGUACAAGCAUGUUUUCCCCCCUGUCUUGGCCCCAUGGGUUUCAUUUGUUGGCAUACCAUGGAAGGUCACCCCUUUCCCAAUGUUAGAAUUUCAAAGCAAGUGGAUUGCUAGUGUUUUAUCUGGUAGAAUUAUGCUUCCAUCUCAAGAGGAGAUGGUGGAAGAUGUUAACACUUUCUACUCAACACUUGAAGCUUCUGGCAUACCUAAGCGAUAUACCCAUAAUUUAUUUAAUCAUCAGGUAAGCCUCAUGUUUGGCAAAAAGUUUGUCCUCUCUCUGUUUUUGUAAUUGCCCUGUUAAUUAGUUCUUGACACCAACUUCAUUACUAGAACCUGAUUUACCUUCUCCUGCUUAGCCUAGUGGCUCUGUAUUAAUAAGAAUAUAUACCACGACAUUUAAUGUCUUCUCUUCUUGAUCUAUGGAUGAUAACAGAUUUUUUUCGUUUUUCACACAGCAAUAACAAACUUGGAUUUAAAUGUGAACUUAGUUAAUGUAGUUGCAUUGAUGCCCCCCUAUGGAUCAAUUAAACACAAUAUGCCUCUAUUACCUGAUUUUCUGUUAAUUUUGGUUGUUGAUAUUUGCAGGCUGACUACAACAAUUGGCUUGCUGCACAGUGCCAAUGUCCAGGCUUUGAAGAAUGGAGAAACCAAAUGUACCAUUAUACUACCAAAAACAGUACUGUCCGGCCCAAGACAUACCGUGAUGAAUGGGAAGAUGACCACCUGAUCAUUCAAUCCCACGAGGACUUCAAGAAAUAUACCUGAAAUGAGAAUAAAAACAAAAUUUGCAUCUCUACUUCCCAAAAAAAAAAUGCAUUUUUUAAGUGAAGUAGAUCAAACGAAUCCUUGCAUGAUAAGCUUUCAGCACUCAGCAGACCUCACAUCUCAACUACUUGUAUUAAACGAUCCCUUGAAUGUGAAGGGAGUAUACAGUUAAACAUUGAAAAAUGGAUGAUAUUCUAUGGACUUAUUGCAGUAGACCAAUAGGUAUGGGAAUAAAUUCAUUUCAAAGCGAAAUUCAAAUUCAUAUAUUUUAAAUUAAUUCAUGUAUAAUUCAAAUGAUAGUUGAUUUGCCUUCUAA
This 2113-nucleotide unclassified non-coding RNA is filed under the name Hevea brasiliensis (rubber tree). The record is from RNAcentral. Lineage: Eukaryota; Viridiplantae; Streptophyta; Magnoliopsida; Malpighiales; Euphorbiaceae.